This 253-nucleotide ribosomal RNA is filed under the name uncultured bacterium. RNAcentral describes it as "partial 16S ribosomal RNA". It matches the Rfam family "Bacterial small subunit ribosomal RNA", at positions 524 to 776 of the family's 1533-position model. The record is from RNAcentral.
UACAGAGGUCCCGAGCGUUGUUCGGAUUCACUGGGCGUAAAGGGUGCGUAGGUGGCCAGGUAAGUUUGGUGUGAAAGCUCGGAGCUUAACUCCGAAAAGGCAUUGAAUACUAUCUGGCUAGAGGGUUGGAGGGGAGACUGGAAUUCUCGGUGUAGCAGUGAAAUGCGUAGAUAUCGAGAGGAACACCAGUGGCGAAGGCGAGUCUCUGGACAACCCCUGACACUGAGGCACGAAAGCUAGGGGAGCAAACAGG